GACGAACGCUGACGGCGUGCUUAACACAUGCAAGUCGAACGGAAAGGCCCUGCUUUUGUGGGGUGCUCGAGUGGCGAACGGGUGAGUAACACGUGAGUAACCUGCCCUUGACUUUGGGAUAACUUCAGGAAACUGGGGCUAAUACCGGAUAGGAGCUCCUGCUGCAUGGUGGGGGUUGGAAAGUUUCGGCUGUUGGGGAUGGACUCGCGGCUUAUCAGCUUGUUGGUGGGGUAGUGGCUUACCAAGGCUUUGACGGGUAGCCGGCCUGAGAGGGUGACCGGCCACAUUGGGACUGAGAGACGGCCCAGACGCCUACGGGAGGCAACAGUGGGGAAUAUUGCACAAUGGGCGGAAGCCUGAUGCAGCAACGCCGCGUGCGGGAUGACGGCCUUCGGGUUGUAAACCGCUUUCGCCUGUGACGAAGCGUGAGUGACGGUAAUGGGUAAAGAAGCACCGGCUAACUACGUG
RNAcentral lists this ribosomal RNA (468 nucleotides) under uncultured bacterium. Its description in RNAcentral is "partial 16S ribosomal RNA". It matches the Rfam family "Bacterial small subunit ribosomal RNA", at positions 28 to 507 of the family's 1533-position model. The record is from RNAcentral.